GGAAUCACAAUUAUCAUCAUCGACACUAGCAAAAGAAAAGAAUGUAUUUGAUUUAUAGCAGCAUGCUAAAGAAGAAAAAGAUGGAUUAAUGUUUCGACAUAGUGAGGGAAGGGUGUUUUUCAAGGUUGGCUCAUAUCUUCUAUCCUUUAUUUCUAAAUCUCGGUUACUGUUCACGGGCCAUUUUUUUUGGGACAACUACAUUUUUCUUUUGUUCUCACACAACACAAUGGCCCAUGUGUCGAUGGCCCAUGUCGUCACACAAUUGCAUCAUCCCCUUCACAGUUCGACGUUGGCAACCAUGUCCGUCAUCAUGCCGCUGCUGGCUUUGGCUUUCCCCCUCCUGCUCCUUUAGGUGCGUUCAGGUUCCAUUGCUGGCAUAUGGAUUCCGUCUUUGGCGAGGUUGCGACGUUUUUUUGGCCGAUGCUCAAGGAUUCCUGAAGAAAGGGAAUGGUUGCAUAUGCAAUCAGUAAUUGUGUGGGUUGAUACAAUUGCUGCUUCUUCCUAUUCGUCAUCACCUUCGUCAUCACUACUUCUUCCCAUGUUCAGUGGCCAUGGCAGUCCUAAAGCAGCGUCACAAGUGCAGUGUGACGUUUUUUGCUUGGCAUCUUCUGCAGAAGCCUCGAAGAAAGGGCAUCCUAUAACCUCCAACCUUUGAAUUUUGUGGGAUGCUCGGUGGUCAUCAUCUCACCUCAUGCUGCCAGAUCCAGCUGUUUCAUUUGCUUUACAGAUGGGUUCCAACCUCUGUGUUUCUAAGGCUCCCCCGCUCACCUAUGUUGUCAUGGUGGUUAUUAUGAGGAGUGAUUCAUGGCUAUCGUAGCUUAUAGUGCUUGGCCAUAUAGAAAAAAGAGACUCAGAAAAGCUCUAUUUUGGCAUGAAAAUUGCACAAGGUGGUCUAUUUUGGCAUCAAAAUUGCUCAUUCAAUAUACUCAGGUAUUCUACUUACAUUGAAUUUGGUCGAAAAACAGGUAACUUAUGAUUCUCUUGAUCGUAGUUGAAAAGCUCUGUACCUUCUUCUUUUAAUAUGUGUAGAAAUUUCUUCAUCAAGUAAUAUGCUAUUGAAGUUUGAUAAGGUCUUAUUUGUGUUUCUACACUUCUUUUAGAAUAUCAAAGGUUAUGUUUUUGUGGGGAUGAGAAAUCGGAUAAACAAUCUUCCUUUGAAUGUCCAGACUCCAGACUAUCAUUGUGAACUUAAAUUGGAAUUGGAAAAUUGUAGAUUUCAGGUCAUCAUCUUGAUAUACAUCUAUGAGACCUUUAUUAGAAUUGUAGAGUUAGAUAGAAAAGAGCUUAUCUAAACUGAAUGUGAAAAAUAUCACUGCAUACUGAAAUGUUAAACCAAGAGGUUUUUAACUUUUAACACUGUCAAUUAGGUUUGUAUCUCAAAGAUUCUCGAAAUAUAGAAGGUUGCUGAGGAACAUCUUUUUUCAUCAUCUUUCUCUCUACAAAAAAAAUUUCUGUUCAUCUUCUUCAAUUGUGGUUCGCAAUAUGGAAAUUGAAAAAUGAAUUUUCGGAAAAAUCAAGGCUUAAAUGUUAGACCUGAUGUAGUUCAUUGAUUUUCAUUGUUUUUAGUUUGUUAUUGGGAAGUAGAGAAGAGGAGAUGAUCUUAGAAAGACUGUCCAAGGCUCUUGAGUUUUUGUUCCCAAUUUCUAGCAUCACAACUUCUAAGGGAUCAUCCAAUCUGUGAAUUUUUUGUCAAUGAUGUCUCACAAUGUGUGACUUUUGUAGGUGAUCAAGUCCUUUUUGAACUCUUUUACUUAUUUGAGUUUCUACAUGUGCCUGCUGUAGCAUGAUAGGAGCAGAUGAAGUGGUUCCUUCAUCAGAAACUUUGAAUCCCUUGCAACCAAGUAUUAGUAUCUGCCAAUAGAAGAUUGACAAGUUGAGAAGAGUCUAAGUUUCAACAACAUAGAAGAAGCCCAAUUGUCUUCGUUGGAUAAUGGAUUCUUGAUUUUUGAGAUGUCUUCGGCGGGCUGAUUCAUGAUGGUUCAUCCUUCGGGGAGAGCUAGAGUUGAGAUGCGGGAAUGAAGCGUAUCGCGGUUGCGAGAGGAGGACGGAUGGUGUACAUAGACUAGGUCGUUCUGGAUUUCAAAUUCGGACGACGAUCAUGCUAGCAUGUAGGUUUUAGUGCUGGUGUGAGCUCCUCGAGAUGGGAUUAGCGUAGGAGUAGAGUCUUAGCUCUGAACAUCAUUUGUUUUCUUUGGGAACAGGGUAGUUUCCCACCUAUAGCUUUUUGUGUGGUUUCUUUACGGGAAUCACAGAGAGUUGGUUGGACAUAGGAGAUCUUGUUUCAGGCCGAUGGGCCAGCUCAUUCUCAGUUUUGAGGGAUGGUGUUGCGGACACUUCACCCUUUUCAUUUGGUUUGUAUAUAUUGCCUACGGGCGCUACACUUUUCUUUCCGUCACUGGAGGUUACUCGUGACGAGGUUGUUACUUACAGCGGGGGCUGUAUUAUAUAUUGUACAUUAGUUCUGUUGCUUUUCGCUUUUGGGUUUUAUCUAUUUCAGUCUUGUCUUAGUUAUUAUAAAAAAAAAAUAUAUUCACGUUUUUCCGCAUUAAGUUUACUUUCGGUUACUAAAGUGACGCCACCGAAAUCGGGGUGUUACAUUGUGGUAUCAGAGCUUGUCGAGUCUUUCGGGAGUUGUUGGGGAAUAGGUCUUCUAUGCUAGGUUGUGUGACUCUGCAAAGAGUGAAAAUUGAUUGUCUGCAAGCGAUUUUUCGCUUAGAAUUGAUUGAAGUUAUUGCUUAAUCAUAUUGUAUAGCAUGUUAGAUGCUAUCUUAUGAUGAGUACUAACUGUUUGAUUGACUUAACAGAACCUAGAUGUUAUCCUAGGAAUGGAUUGGUUGUCUCACUAUCAUUGUCUUUUGGACGAACAAAAGCAAAGGAGCAAGUGGUCGAGCCGGACAGCAUAGAGCUGAAAGAUGAUAUGUUUGUUGAGACGCCGUCGGUCAACAUUGAGACUAGAAGAGUGAAACAAUCGAGGGGAAAGCAGAGUGCUUUAGUAAAAGUUAUUUGGAACGAAGACACGGACGAUGCUAUAUGGGACUUAGAGGAGAAGAUCAAGGAAUAAUAUCCGGAGCUUUUACUGAACCCUAAGUUUCGAGGACGAAACUUUCUUUUUGGAGGGUAGUAAUGUAAGACCCAAGUUUUUAAGCUUGGAAUAAGUGGAAGAGACUUCUAUUCACGAUUAGGCUUGACGUAUCGUGAAGGAAAACCUGAACAAGAGUUUAUCGAAUGGAAUAAAUUUAUGAAAGAGAAAGUUCAGGAAAAGUCUAAGGAUUGUAUCGAAGUCGAUUUAAGUUAUAGCACGACUAAUAUCCGUUUUAAAACCUAGGACAAGAACCUUAGGAAAUCAAACUAUGUUCCACCCUUGGAACACUGUAGGAAUUUAGUCCAAAAAUCUUCAGAGAAAUGUUAGAAUUGCAUAUUGGUUGACUGGGUUAACCUGCAUAUCAUUUCAUGCAACAUGCAUGCUGA
Long non-coding RNA from Lotus japonicus, 3468 nucleotides. RefSeq lists it as uncharacterized. NCBI's taxonomy places the organism in Eukaryota, Viridiplantae, Streptophyta, Magnoliopsida, Fabales, Fabaceae. The transcript is spliced from 3 exons. The record is from RefSeq and is a predicted model, not a curated record.